AUACGUAGGGGGCGAGCGUUGUCCGGAAUGAUUGGGCGUAAAGGGCGCGCAGGCGGCGCGGUAAGUCUGGAGUGAAAGUCCUGCUUUCAAGGUGGGAAUUGCUUUGGAUACUGCCGCGCUUGAGUGCAGGAGAGGUUAUCGGAAUUCCCGGUGUAGCGGUGAAAUGCGUAGAGAUCGGGAGGAACACCAGUGGCGAAGGCGGGUAACUGGACUGCAACUGACGCUGAGGCGCGAAAGUGUGGGGAGCAAACAGGAUUAGAUACCCUGGUAGUCCACACUGUAAACGAUGAAUGCUAGGUGUAAGAGGUAUCGACCCCUUUUGUGCCGGAGUCAACACAAUAAGCAUUCCGCCUGGGGAGUACGGCCGCAAGGUUGAAACUCAAAUGAAUUGGCGGGG
Molecule: ribosomal RNA, 397 nt
Filed under: uncultured bacterium
Lineage: Bacteria
Description: partial 16S ribosomal RNA
Rfam family: Bacterial small subunit ribosomal RNA
Source: RNAcentral